RNAcentral lists this ribosomal RNA (1703 nucleotides) under Ctenophora environmental sample. Its description in RNAcentral is "partial Eukaryotic large subunit ribosomal RNA". It matches the Rfam family "Eukaryotic large subunit ribosomal RNA", at positions 1307 to 3188 of the family's 3401-position model. The record is from RNAcentral. Lineage: Eukaryota; Metazoa; Ctenophora.
UAGCCCUGAAAAUGGAGGUCAAAGGAGGCGUCCGCCGAUACCUUGUCCAUUUGGUGUAGGAGGGCGUGGUCCAUACUUGGAAGUCUCUGUGUGAACAGAGGCGGAGUGUGGACUAGUGUAGAUCUUGGUGGUAGUAGCAAGUAUUCCAAUGAGAACUUGGAAGACUGAAGAGGAGAAGGUUUUCAUGAGACUGCAGUAGGUCAUGAGUGACCCGACCCUAACUCCAGGGAAAGGGGAUGUGGUUAACAUUCCACAGGUAGGCGUUGCAGAGUGGCGACACUAGCAACUGCAAGACGGCGGGGACGUCCCGGGGAGAGUUCUCUUUUCUGCUUAACACCAUGACUGUCUGGAAGGCCUUUACGGCGAGAGAGACGCUAGUGGUGGAAGAGCAGCACACUCUUAGUGCUGUCCGGAGUGCUGUUCACGCCCCUUGAAAAUUGCAGUUGUGCUGCAGGCCUAGUCGUACCGAAUCCGCAACAGGUCUCCAAGGUUAGCAGCCUCUAGUGGUAGAGUAAUGUAGGUAAGGGAAGUCGGCAAACUGGAUCUGUAACUUCGGGAGAAAGAUUGGCUCUGAGGGCCAGGCACACCCACCGCUCGCAGGCUAGCCGGCUGAGCUCUUGGUACGCUGGGAGAGCGGCUGGCGUGCCUAACAGUGGCUCGGGGGUGCGGACAAUGGCUGACUCAGAACUGGUACGGCAGGGGGAAUCCGACUGUUUAAUCGAAACAAAGCAUUGUGAGGGGUAUUCUGUUGACACAAUGUGAUUUCUGCCCAGUGCUCUGAAUGUCAAGGUGAUGAGAUUCGCCUAAGCGCGGGUAAACGGCGGGAGUAACUAUGACUCUCUUAAGGUAGCCAAAUGCCUCGUCAUCUAAUUAGUGACGUGCAUGAAUGGAUUAACGAGAUUCCUGCUGUCCCUAUCUACUGUCUAGCGAACCCACAGCCAAGGGAACGGGCUUGGCACUGUCAGCGGGGAAAGAAGACCCUGUUGAGCUUGACUCUAGUCUGGCACGUGGAGCUGUGUAGGAGGCGUAGUAUAAGUGGGAGGCCGCGAACCUGAAAUACCACUACUCUUAAGGCCGCUCCACUCAUCCUGUCGGGUAACACUGUUCUUGAGCGUUGUUAGGUGGGAGAGUGGCCAGGUGGGGAGUUUGGCUGGGGCGGCACAUCUGUCACAGGAGAACACAGGUGUCCUAAGGCGAGCUCAGAGAGGACAGAAACCUCUCGUCGACCAGAAGGGGACAUGCUCGCUUGAUUGCAACCCUCAGUCCCGGGGGCAACCGUGAAAGCGUGGCCUAGCGAUCCUUUGCCUUUUAGGAGUUUUAAGCCAGAGGUGUCAGAAAAGUUACCACAGGGAUAACUGGCUUGUGGCAGCCAAGCGUUCAUAGCGACGUUGCUUUUUGAUUCUUCGAUGUCGGCUCUUCCUAUCAUUGUGAAGCAGAAUUCACCAAGUGUCGGAUUGUUCACCCGCUAAUAGGGAACGUGAGCUGGGUUUAGACCGUCGUGAGACAGGUUAGUUUUACCCUACUGACCUUGUGUCGCCACAGUAGUCCAACUCAGUACGAGAGGAACCGUUGGUCCAGACCUCUGGUCGCCGACUAGUCGCCCUACCGUCGACCUGCUACGUCUGUUCGAUUACCGCUGAACGCCUCUAAGUGGGAAUCCUGCCUGAGAGCGACACUUCAAGUUGCUACCGUCUAUUUACUCA